CAGAGUUGUAAAACUCCCAAACCCAUGUGAACAUACCUGUUGCCUCGGCGGCCUACCUGGUCAGCUACCCUGUAGCUACCCUGUAGUCCGCCGGCGGAUCUACAAACUCUUGUUUUCAGUUGUAUCUCUGAGAAUAAAACAAAUAAGUCA
This 150-nucleotide unclassified non-coding RNA is filed under the name uncultured Xylariales. Its description in RNAcentral is "sequence contains ITS1". The record is from RNAcentral. Lineage: Eukaryota; Fungi; Ascomycota; Sordariomycetes; Xylariales.